This 101-nucleotide microRNA precursor is filed under the name Marmota monax (woodchuck). Lineage: Eukaryota; Metazoa; Chordata; Mammalia; Rodentia; Sciuridae. The record is from RNAcentral.
AAUGUAAUUUCUGGGUCAUAUGGUAAAAUUAUGUUUAAUUUAUGUAAGAAAUUGCCACUUUCUUCCAAAGUAACUGUACCAUUUGCAUUUCCACCACUGAU